AGGACGAACGCUGGCGGCGUGCCUAACACAUGCAAGUCGCACGAACGGUUUCGGCUGUUAGUGGCGGACGGGUGAGUAUCGCGUAGGGAUUUAUCGUUGGGUGGGGGAUAACCUUGGGAAACUGGGGCUAAUACCGCAUGACGCCUGAGGGCCAAAGUUGAGGCGCCUGACGAGAAGCCUGCGUCCGAUUAGGUAGUUGGUUGGGUAAUGGCUGACCAAGCCUGCGAUCGGUAGCUGGUCUGAGAGGAUGAUCAGCCACACUGGGACUGAGACACGGCCCAGACUCCUACGGGAGGCAGCAGUGGGGAAUAUUGGACAAUGGGCGCAAGCCUGAUCCAGCAAUGCCGCGUGGAUGAAGAAGGUUUUCGGAUUGUAAAGUCCUUUCGGCGGGGACGAUGAUGACGGUACCCGCAGAAGAAGCCCCGGCUAACUUCGUGCCAGCAGCCGC
This 448-nucleotide ribosomal RNA is filed under the name uncultured bacterium. RNAcentral describes it as "SSU rRNA". It matches the Rfam family "Bacterial small subunit ribosomal RNA", at positions 26 to 518 of the family's 1533-position model. The record is from RNAcentral.